Molecule: ribosomal RNA, 420 nt
Filed under: uncultured Sphingobacteriales bacterium
Lineage: Bacteria; Pseudomonadati; Bacteroidota; Sphingobacteriia; Sphingobacteriales
Description: bacterial SSU rRNA
Rfam family: Bacterial small subunit ribosomal RNA
Source: RNAcentral
CGAGGAACCUUACCUGGAUUUAAAUGGGGAGUGACAGGCUUAGAGAUAGGCUUUUCUUCGGACACUUCUUCAAGGUGCUGCAUGGUUGUCGUCAGCUCGUGCCGUGAGGUGUCGGGUUAAGUCCCAUAACGAGCGCAACCCACGUUGUUAGUUACCAGCAUGUAGUGAUGGGGACUCUAACAAGACUGCCGGUGUAAACCGCGAGGAAGGUGUGGAUGACGUCAAAUCAGCACGGCCCUUACAUCCAGGGCUACACACGUGUUACAAUGGCCGGUACAGAGGGCAGCUACCCCGCGAGGGGAUGCGAAUCCUAUAAAACCGGUCUCAGUUCGGAUUGGAGUCUGCAACCCGACUCCAUGAAGCUGGAUUCGCUAGUAAUCGCGCAUCAGCCAUGGCGCGGUGAAUACGUUCCCGGGCCUU